AGUAAUGUGAAUAUUUACAUCAGCUGACAUCAAAUCAACUGACUACAUUUACAGUUUAGGUUAAUGUUAGAAUAACCAAAACAUAUAUUCACAUUUACGUUUGAUAACUUGCAUGUAAGUAGUUACUAAGCAUUUAUAUCUUCUAAAGCUAGGCUAUAGCGAAAAGAGUUUGCUAAAGCCAGCUAGCUUACUCAAUCCUAAACAAAGUAACGUUAUUUCAAGUGUUGUCGGGAUGUGUGUGUUUUAACGCGUGACUAUGGACAAGCUAGCCAUAGAUGUUGGUGAUAUUCAGUCCAGGCUAAUAGAACAUAGGCCUGUCAUACAAGGGGAGAUCUGCUAUUUUAUGAAUUUGAGGAAAAACUUGGAUUGAGAAACAGAUGUUUCCUGGACAACCUGAACAAAAUGGUGGUGGAGACCAAUGAGCAGUCGUUUCCCAAAUGUUCAGAGCACAUGCAUAAGCACCUCUGUGAGGCCCUCACACGAUAUAUAAGCCCCUUCCUGACCUAGCCAGUGUAUUUUUCAAUUGCUAACCAUUGCAGUUGUAAUAUGGACUGAUUGAAUGCUAUUGUAAUGUUUUCCAAAUGACUUGACUUCGUUGUAUUAUUUCAAUGUGCCUUACUGAUAAAGCUGGAAAGUAGUUGAAUGUAACAUUGUUGCUUGUGUUUUUCUACAGUGGAGGAUGGGAAUCACACGUCACAGAGGAUCCAGGAGAGGGAGCUAUAGGCAGACCAAGUAAAGACACAGGCUCUCUUCAAAGCCCAUGAAUUACCAAUAGUGAUUUAACCAUUCACAGGCAUGGAUUGUGACAACAGACCAGGGCCCAGUUUCUCGUUGUCGAUGGAACUUAGGCUUAUGAGUAUAUGAACAAUGAAUCGUACAACAACCGAGGAAGUCGCUUAUGCUUCCCAAAACACUAAGCAGGGAGAACUUUCACUAAGUCUGUCGUUGGAGCAGGUGUCAUUAUGAUGGAAAGGAAGGCAGCGCUGCUCACGGAUCAGCUUGGUCCAUUCAAAUCUUCCACAAUACUGACGAAGGAUCACCUAUAGGCUAUGGCUGCAAAUAUUAAGGUGGCUCAUUAACCUAAUGCUUAUGCCCAGCCUACACAUCAUUGCUCACAUGUUGUUACACAUCAUGAAAUAUAUUUAGGAAAUAAUUACCAACAGUAGCCUACAAUUAGUCAAAUAGAACUCAAUUGAUUGAACAAGAAAUAGAUUUCAGUAUGAUUGAAAUGUGUAGGCUUAUGUAGUCUAUAUUGUAUUUACCUUUUAUUACAAUCAUCUGGGUUUUCAUUUUAAGCAUUUUUUUAAUCCUUUGCUUGUCUGUAACAUACAAAGACUUUGGUAACUUUGUAGUCAACUUUGUUCUGAAUUUAUAGGUGUUUACAGAGAGACAGAUAAACAUCUUGAGUCUGUGUUUAGCAGAGAUCUAUGUAUAAAGAUAUGUGGUAGGACAAAAAAGCACCUAAAGUUGCACUUAGCUCUCCACUAAGAGUGGUCUGAGGCAGUUAGUAAAUAAAGAUUGUUUUCAAGUGCAACUUUAGUUCUAAUGGUUUUGGGAAACAACUCGGGGAUUUACCAAUGCUCCUACAAAGGUUCUAACGAUGAACUUGGUUUUAAGAUGCUUUUGGGAAAUCGGGCCCAGGGGCGGGUCAUUUGGCACUAAACAGGAAAUAGCUGUUUGAAACUGAGUACCACCCAAAUCUCCCCAACAAGAGUGUUUUCAUUUCCAAUUUCAUUUUUGUCUAGUUCAGAUUUUUUUUGUCUUUGAGCCUGACCCAGAUCCUUGCAUGUUGUGCACCUUAGAGCACCCAGUUGCAGGUGACCAUAGACAGACAGAAGGAGGACUGGGAGGAGGUGGACGAAGAGCAUACCAAGGACAUCGGACGCCUCAGCAUCAUGUACUGCGACAUGAAGAAGGAUCUGGCCAAAUUCUCUCACUUCUGAUCCUCGGUGUGUCUGUCUGUCGGUCUGCUUGAAAUUAAGUUGUUGAAUUUGAUUGAUGCGGUACUUAGUCGUUGGCACUAACAGAGGACUUCUGAGGACAAAAGUCAACCGUUUCCAGAUCACAAAUGACAGUGUGAUUAACAACGUGGCAUUUUCACAGCCCUUCAAAAUCACAAUUUUCUGGCCUAAGCACAUGGAAUAUGUAUGUCAAGUUCUGGAAAAAUGUCAUUUUUAAACCAUAAAUUACAUGAUUGUU
Oncorhynchus masou masou (cherry salmon) is the source of this 2199-nucleotide long non-coding RNA. RefSeq lists it as uncharacterized. The transcript is spliced from 3 exons. The record is from RefSeq and is a predicted model, not a curated record. Lineage: Eukaryota; Metazoa; Chordata; Actinopteri; Salmoniformes; Salmonidae.